CCCUUAGAUGUUCUGGGCCGCACGCGUGCUACACUGAGUGGAUCAGCGGGUCAGGUUGCGCGAAAGUGUUUCCUAAUCUUGAAAUCCGCUCGUGAUGGGGAUUGACGGUUGCAAUUUUCCGUCAUGAACGAGGAAUACCUUGUAAGCGCGGGUCAUCAUCCCGCGCUGAAUACGUCCCUGCCCUUUGUACACACCGCCCGUCGCUCCUACCGAUUGAGUGGUCCGGUGAGGCUUUGGGAUCUGAGCGGAAAGAGCGUUUCGCUGUUUCUGCUCGGAAAACUCAGUCGAACCUUAUCAUUUAGAGGAAGGAUAAGUCGUAACA
This 322-nucleotide ribosomal RNA is filed under the name uncultured eukaryote. Its description in RNAcentral is "partial 18S ribosomal RNA". It matches the Rfam family "Eukaryotic small subunit ribosomal RNA", at positions 1470 to 1796 of the family's 1831-position model. The record is from RNAcentral.